CCAACUAACCCUAACACAACCCGCACCACUCGUCCUCUCGCUCCCCUCUCUCCCCUACGCACCCACAGCCGCCGCCCUCUCCCUCCCUCAGAUCUCGAUCUCGAUCUCGCUCCCUUCCACGUCUCCAGGGGCGGCGGCGAUGACUUCCCGUCCUCCCCCGACCCCUAUGCCUUCUGCCACGACUCCGCCGCCACCGCUUUCGCUCACUUAGGCUGCCGCCCCUCGUCCCGAUCCCCUUCCUCCAACCCACCCCACGGCCGCCGGCCAACUCCGGCGAUCCCCGACGCCCAGGAAUCCCAUCUCCACCGGGUCCUCGCCGUGUCAUGCGCGACGACCCACUCACCCGCGGCCAUCCAAUCCAACCGUAGCAGCCGGGAGGGCGGCGGCGGCGGCGGCGGUCUGCACUGACGCAGGAGCCUCCUGGCUGUGGCAUUGUGCCGGCCCCAAACCCCAGGGCUCGGCACGGCUGCGGCCGUGGUCGCUUCCUCCUCCUCCGGCCCAUCUCCGGUCCGGUCCAAUCCAAUCCAAUCCAAGGUACGUGGUCUCGCCGGCGCAUUCCUUCUUAUUUCCCUCAAUCGAUCGCUGUUUCACAGCUGUGCGCACCUCCUCUGCUUCUCACUUGUGCUUCUUCUUGUGUUGGAUUGGAUUGGGUUGGGUUUGAUUCGGCAUGCAGGCCAUGGAGCGAGCCAAGGCGCAGCUGCGUCCGUCUGCGUGCUUCUUCUCAUCCUGGUGCGUACCAUGGUGAGAAGACAAGGCAAAGGCAGGUGCUCCCGAUGGAUGGACGCCGGCGAUUGAGGCUGCUCACUUAGGCUGCGUUUGAUUCGAGUCCAGAUAACUAGGUUUGCUUUCAGUCCAUUCAGCUUGAUUAUUGCUAGUGAAAUUCCUCCGCUUAUGCCGCGCCACUACUUGUGAUGUUAUAGUGUAUGCGCCUACUUGUGCGGACUGAUGGCGAAUGCAAGUGCGUGCACAAUGAUGAUCCUCUGGUCUGGUCUUCUUGUGAUUUUAUUACUACUGGUUACUGAAUGGAUGAUGUGCAUCUUUCUUCAGUUUGAUUGAAAAUUGUCCCCCUUUUUGUGCAUGCAUACAUCUGCCCACUAAUUAAGCCACCAGAAUCUUUUAGUUAGGGCUUAAUAAUAAUAUAUGUCAAUGGUGUGACUCUGUGUUUACAUUGUCUCCUAUAGUAGAAUUAUUAUGGAUGGUUCUCUAAUCUACUAGUGUUGUAGCCUGUAGAGGCGAGUCUGUAUUUUGUUCUACACAUGAUGAUGCAAUUAUGGACUGCUGUUUGUUUCCUAGCUAUGUACUGCCAUCAUAUAAAUUCCUGCCAUGUUCUAGAUUAGCCAACCAUUGGUGGCUUGUUUCAGUUUAAUUUAAAUGACCAUGGGUGCGUGCAAAGGGUGAACACACAACACACUAGUUAGUAAGUGCACAACUCUGUCUGUAUACUUACCAAUUGAUGUGGUAAAUAUGCACCUACAAGGAUUGCUACUGGUAACUGAAUGAUAUGCAUCUUCGACCAGACCACCUACAAUAAGCUACUCACUGAGGUGUCCAAGUACAAGCAGACCACGCCCUAGGUGAUCUGGUCUUCUUGCUUGCUUUUUACCUGUGAGAAUUGAGAUCUCGGGAUGGUGGGUUAUGUGGAUCGGUGGCCCCUGGUUAAGUCUUUUGCUGUGAUGCUCUGUUUUGGGGUCAGUCAGUAGUACUCUGUGAUGCUCUGGUUCUCCUAGCAUGGAGCAUAUAUGAUUUUGCUAUGAUUUGGAUGCCAGUUUCUGCUGCUGCAUCAGUUUUUAUUACAUCAGUAGCUAGUGGUGAACGGUAACAACUCCACUUGUUAAUGUUUUUAUUACAUCAGUAGCUAGCGGUGAACAAUAAUAACUUAUGGUUUAUGUUGUGGCUUGGUGCAAUGUAAUCUUGUGGUACUUCCAUGAUUCUGCCGGCUGAUUUUAUAUCUUAUUGUAUUCUUUAUAUUAUAGCUGUCUCCCAUGAUUCUGCUCGUAUCCAACCAUUAUGUUUGCUUUGUUUCAGUUUAAUUUUCCGUGACUUUGUUGUUUAAUGUAUCUACCUGCAGAUAGACUGGGAUGAUUCUGCACCAAGUCGGUCUUGUUGGGCACGAUCCUGUUAUGGAGAAGCUUAAGAUUUCUGACACCAUUGCUCCUAUGUUCUCUGGAGAUGUUGGCAUGGCUGACCUGUUGGUGGGACCAGAUUGUAUCUGCUUCUGCCCGUGCAGGAGCUUCUUCCCCUGCGCCUCUGUUGUCCGCAUGUCUAGUUGAUUGAUUCUGCUCACUUCCUGCUGAAUCGUUCAGACUUUGUAGCGCUCAUGAGCCUUUUAUGUUGCGCCUAUGCUUGAUCUAUGAAGUGAUACAUCUGAAAUUUCCUACAUAUCUUAGUUGUUGGGCCUAGUUGUUGCUGGUCCGUUCUUGUGCAUUGGUCCUGCUCUGAGAGUCUAUUUGUUGCUUGCAAUACUACUAUUGAUUUAACUAGAUUUUGUAGCUUGUUGUCAAAACUUCAAACGACCUGAACUUGCGCAACGGUUCUAGUCCGAAAAUCAUCUGUAUUCACAAUGAUAUGUUAGCUUGUAGUCAAACUUGAUCAUGAGUCUGUUAGCAUGUAGUCAAACUUGAAUAUGAAUUUGUAUAGCUCUUUAUUGUUCUGAAUAGACUGUAUAGCUCUUUAUUGUUCUCCACUUAUUUGUACAGCCAAUGAUGCUUACUUAACUGUAUAGCUCUUUAUGUUUCUUUUCCAGGUAUUCUAUUUGUGCUCCACCCGAAAUCUAUUUUGCAUUGCUAAGUUCUUGAAACGAAGCGCUCACUGCUCGACCAUUUAUUUACUGAACUGGGAGCAACAGAGGCAAGAUAUUUGAAACAAGCUAAAGUCCUUUUGAUUCUUGAUUUCUAGCAUACACAUGCAACCUGAUUGGUGUAGAUAUGAUGUAGGUUCAGUGCUUACUAUUUUUUGAUUUGAUGCAUGUUACCUUCGUUUCUGUCUAUGCCUUCUUUAGUGUUUUGCCAGCUAACUAGUCUAUUGGUCGUUUUGAAAUAUGAAGAUGCUGCAUGUAAGCACUAUUGCUGGCAAUUUGGCACAUCAUAUUAGUCUUAUCCCAUGUUUUGUCACUAGCAUACACUACAAUCCCUUGUCCUGUCACUAGCAUACACUACAGUUUUAUUAAAAGGGGGCAUAUCAUUUGCUCUAUAUAACAGUGCUGAUUUUGCGCUGAUAUGAACUUACAACAGUAUUACAUUGUAGUGUUUUCUGCAUGUUGUUGUAUCACUAGUUUCAUGUUGCCUUCUCAUUUGAACAUAUUACUUGUUUUUGUUUUUAUCCUUGAUUAGUAUCAAUUGUUGUAUUGUAGACUUAAAAUUGUGGUGGUUCCUCCUUUACAGAAGCUCAAGUGUGAAGUCGUGAAGUGUGAAGCAAGUGUGAAGCCGUGAACUGUGAAGCCAAGUGUGAAGCCGUGAAGUCCAACUCAUUGUAGCAUAUCUGUGUUGUAAAGAUUGUAAUACAUUUAUUUAGUGGUAUAUUUGAUGAAUUUUAUGCGUUCUUUGUUCUAUUGGAAAUAUUGAUUAUGUAUGUGAUUUGAAAACUUGUGGAAUGGAAACUUGUCCAGUGAGGCCACUUAUGAAAAUAAUUUGUCAAAUUUGUA
RNAcentral lists this long non-coding RNA (3640 nucleotides) under Triticum aestivum (bread wheat). RNAcentral's name for it is "long non-coding RNA (TAES_LNC022188)". Lineage: Eukaryota; Viridiplantae; Streptophyta; Magnoliopsida; Poales; Poaceae. The record is from RNAcentral.